This is a long non-coding RNA of Anthonomus grandis grandis, 722 nucleotides long. RefSeq lists it as uncharacterized. NCBI's taxonomy places the organism in Eukaryota, Metazoa, Arthropoda, Insecta, Coleoptera, Curculionidae. The record is from RefSeq and is a predicted model, not a curated record. The transcript has 3 exons.
GGUGCCCCUUCACUAGGAGUACUUGACUGUUUUUAAAUGAAAGCUCUAUCUUUAAUACCAAAAAAGUUAUGCAAAAUUUUCGAUCUAAAAAAGUACAUGUUAAUUGUAAAAAACCGAAAUUUCGAUUUUUCUCAAAAACUAUAAUUUUUUCAAUUUUAAUAAUUAUGUGCAAGGUGCCUCUUUGCCAGGAGUGCUUGGCAGUUUUUAAAUGAAAGCUCUAUCUUUAAUAACAAAAAAGUUAUGCAAAAUUAUCGAUCUAAAAAAGUACAUGUUAAUUGUAAAAAACCGAAAUUUCGAUUUUUUUCAAAAACUACAAUUUUUUUAGUUUUUGAUUAUUACGUACAAGGUGCCCCUUUGCAAGGAGUACUUGACAGUUUUUAAAUGAAAGCUCUAUCUUUAAUAACAAAAAAGUUAUGCAAAAUUUUCGAUCUAAAAAAGUACAUGUUAAUUGUAAAAAACCGAAAUUUCGAUUUUUCUCAAAAACUAUAAUUUUUUAAAUUUUGAUAAUUAUGUGCAAGGUGCCCCUUCGCUAGGAGUAGUUGACUGUUUUUAAACGAAAGCUCUAUCUUUAUUAACAAAAAAGUUAUGCAAAAUUUUCGAUCUAAAAAAGUACAUGUUAAUUGUAAAAAACCGAAAUUUCGAUUUUUUUCAAAAACUACAAUUUUUUUAGUUUUUGAUUAUUACGUACAAGGUGCCCCUUUGCAAGGAGUACUUGACAGUUU